Phragmites australis (common reed) is the source of this 143-nucleotide small nucleolar RNA. RefSeq annotates it as small nucleolar RNA F1/F2/snoR5a. The transcript has a single exon. The record is from RefSeq and is a predicted model, not a curated record. NCBI's taxonomy places the organism in Eukaryota, Viridiplantae, Streptophyta, Magnoliopsida, Poales, Poaceae.
CAGUGCCAUAUGGUAUCUGAUGCUCAAUCUCAUUUUUUUUUGAUUUUGUGUCUCGAAGCAUGGCAGAGAUUGAGUGGGAACAGAUCUUGCGACACUGGUCACUCCUUUAUGAGCUUCCGGUUACUAUAUACCUGUUUACAUGC